This 442-nucleotide ribosomal RNA is filed under the name uncultured bacterium. Its description in RNAcentral is "partial 16S ribosomal RNA". It matches the Rfam family "Bacterial small subunit ribosomal RNA", at positions 338 to 795 of the family's 1533-position model. The record is from RNAcentral.
CCUACGGGAGGCAGCAGUGGGGAAUAUUGGGCAAUGGAGGCAACUCUGACCCAGCAACGCCGCGUGAAUGAUGAAGGUCUUCGGAUUGUAAAGUUCUGUGAUGGGGGAUGAACACAAUGACGGUACCCCAAUAGCAAGCCACGGCUAACUACGUGCCAGCAGCCGCGGUAAUACGUAGGUGGCAAGCGUUAUCCGGAAUGACUGGGGGAAAAGGGUGCGUAGGUGGUUUAGUAAGUUGGCGGUGUAAUUCCGGGGCUCAACCCCGGCCUGCCGUCGGAACUGGGUGCCUUGAGUGGGCGAGAAGUAUGCGGAAUGCGUGGUGUAGCGGUGAAAUGCUUAGAUAUCACGAAGAACUCCGAUUGCGAAGGCAGUUCACUGGACUGCAACUGACACUGAGGCUCGAAAGUGUGGGUAUCAAACAGGAUUAGAUACCCUGGUAGUC